UACGUAGGGUGCGAGCGUUGUCCGGAAUUAUUGGGCGUAAAGGGCUCGUAGGCGGUUUGUCACGUCAGGAGUGAAAACUCGGGGCUCAACCCCGAGCCUGCUUCUGAUACGGGCAGACUAGAGGUAUGCAGGGGAGAACGGAAUUCCUGGUGUAGCGGUGAAAUGCGCAGAUAUCAGGAGGAACACCGGUGGCGAAGGCGGGUCUCUGGGCAACAACUGACGCUGAGGAGCGAAAGCGUGGGGAGCGAACAGG
Molecule: ribosomal RNA, 253 nt
Filed under: uncultured bacterium
Lineage: Bacteria
Description: partial 16S ribosomal RNA
Rfam family: Bacterial small subunit ribosomal RNA
Source: RNAcentral